Molecule: ribosomal RNA, 1481 nt
Filed under: Salmonella enterica subsp. enterica
Lineage: Bacteria; Pseudomonadati; Pseudomonadota; Gammaproteobacteria; Enterobacterales; Enterobacteriaceae
Description: partial 23S ribosomal RNA
Rfam family: Bacterial large subunit ribosomal RNA
Source: RNAcentral
UUCUCUGGUGUUGAAGGCCCUGCAAAGCAGCAUCGCGGUGGCGGAGCGUCGUUUGCGACGCCCAACACACAAAACAAGCGGUGAAUGCUUUGGGGUGGGGUGACUGCGUACCUUUUGUAUAAUGGGUCAGCGACUUAUAUUCUGUAGCAAGGUUAACCGAAUAGGGGAGCCGGAGGGAAACCGAGUCUUAAUUGGGCGUUAAGUUGCAGGGUAUAGACCCGAAACCCGGUGAUCUAGCCAUGGGCAGGUUGAAGGUUGGGUAACACUAACUGGAGGACCGAACCGACUAAUGUUGAAAAAUUAGCGGAUGACCUGUGGCUGGGGGUGAAAGGCCAAUCAAACCGGGAGAUAGCUGGUUCUCCCCGAAAGCUAUUUAGGUAGCGCCUCGUGAAUUCAUCUCCGGGGGUAGAGCACUGUUUCGGCUAGGGGGCCAUCCCGGCUUACCAACCCGAUGCAAACUGCGAAUACCGGAGAAUGUUAUCACGGGAGACACACGGCGGGUGCUAACGUCCGUCGUGAAGAGGGAAACAACCCAGACCGCCAGCUAAGGUCCCAAAGUCAUGGUUAAGUGGGAAACGAUGUGGGAAGGCCCAGACAGCCAGGAUGUUGGCUUAGAAGCAGCCAUCAUUUAAAGAAAGCGUAAUAGCUCACUGGUCGAGUCGGCCUGCGCGGAAGAUGUAACGGGGCUAAACCAUGCACCGAAGCUGCGGCAGCGAACGUAUCACCCAAGACAACUUUACGGAGUUGACGAUUGACGGAGCGAAGCGACGUCAAAGCGUUCAUUAAAGUCGAGUUGGCUUAGGGAUACGUUCGUUGGGUAGGGGAGCGUUCUGUAAGCCUGUGAAGGUGUGUCGUGAGGCAUGCUGGAGGUAUCAGAAGUGCGAAUGCUGACAUAAGUAACGAUAAAGCGGGUGAAAAGCCCGCUCGCCGGAAGACCAAGGGUUCCUGUCCAACGUUAAUCGGGGCAGGGUGAGUCGACCCCUAAGGCGAGGCCGAAAGGCGUAGUCGAUGGGAAACGGGUUAAUAUUCCCGUACUUGGUGUUACUGCGAAGGGGGGACGGAGAAGGCUAUGUUGGCCGGGCGACGGUUGUCCCGGUUUAAGCGUGUAGGUGUGUGUUCCAGGUAAAUCCGGUUCACUUUAACACUGAGGCGUGACGACGAGGCACUACGGUGCUGAAGCAACAAAUGCCCUGCUUCCAGGAAAAGCCUCUAAGCAUCAGGUAACACGAAAUCGUACCCCAAACCGACACAGGUGGUCAGGUAGAGAAUACCAAGGCGCUUGAGAGAACUCGGGUGAAGGAACUAGGCAAAAUGGUGCCGUAACUUCGGGAGAAGGCACGCUGACACGUAGGUGAAGUGAUUUACUCAUGGAGCUGAAGUCAGUCGAAGAUACCAGCUGGCUGCAACUGUUUAUUAAAAACACAGCACUGUGCAAACACGAAAGUGGACGUAUACGGUGUGACGCCUGCCCGGUGCCGGAA